CUGCUGCCUUCCGUAGGAGUUUGGGCCGUGUCUCAGUCCCAAUGUGGCCGUCCACCCUCUCAGGCCGGCUACUGAUCGUCGCCUUGGUGGGCCGUUACCCCGCCAACAAGCUAAUCAGACGCGGGUCCAUCUUACACCACCGGAGUUUUUCACACAAAUCCAUGCGGCUUCGUGCGCUUAUGCGGUAUUAGCACCUGUUUCUAAGUGUUAUCCCCCAGUGUAAGGCAGGUUACCCACGCGUUACUCACCCGUCCGCCA
This 258-nucleotide ribosomal RNA is filed under the name uncultured bacterium. RNAcentral describes it as "partial 16S ribosomal RNA". The record is from RNAcentral.